Molecule: ribosomal RNA, 492 nt
Filed under: uncultured bacterium
Lineage: Bacteria
Description: partial 16S ribosomal RNA
Rfam family: Bacterial small subunit ribosomal RNA
Source: RNAcentral
AGUGAACGCUGGCGGUAGGCCUAACACAUGCAAGUCGAACGGCAGCACAGUAAGAGCUUGCUCUUACGGGUGGCGAGUGGCGGACGGGUGAGGAAUACAUCGGAAUCUACUUUUUCGUGGGGGAUAACGUAGGGAAACUUACGCUAAUACCGCAUACGACCUACGGGUGAAAGCAUGGGAUCUUCGGACCUUGCGCGAUUGAAUGAGCCGAUGUCGGAUUAGCUAGUUGGCGGGGUAAAGGCCCACCAAGGCGACGAUCCGUAGCUGGUCUGAGAGGAUGAUCAGCAACACGGGAACUGAGACACGGUCCAGACUCCUACGGGAGGCAGCAGUGGGGAAUAUUGGACAAUGGGCGCAAGCCUGAUCCAGCCAUACCGCGUGGGGGAAGAAGGCCUUCGGGUUGUAAAGCCCUUUUGUUGGGAAAGAAAAGCAGCAGGUUAAUACCCCGCUGUUCUGACGGUACCCAAAGAAUAAGCACCGGCUAACUUCGUG